UACGGAAGGGGCGAGCGUUGUUCGGAAUCAUUGGGCGUAAAGGGCGCGUAGGUGGUCUUGUAUGUCUAUCGUGAAAGCGUACGGCUCAACUGUAUUUUGUCGGUAGAAACUGCAGGACUUGAGGCUGGGAGGGGCUGGUGGAAUUCCCUGUGUAGCGGUGAAAUGCGUAGAGAUGGGGGAGAACACUCGUGGCGAAGGCGGCCAGCUAGACCAGUUCUGACACUGAGGCGCGACAGCGUGGGGAGCAAACAGG
This 253-nucleotide ribosomal RNA is filed under the name uncultured bacterium. Its description in RNAcentral is "partial 16S ribosomal RNA". It matches the Rfam family "Bacterial small subunit ribosomal RNA", at positions 524 to 776 of the family's 1533-position model. The record is from RNAcentral.